UACGUAGGGGGCAAGCGUUGUCCGGAAUCAUUGGGCGUAAAGCGCGCGUAGGCGGCCAGAUUAGUCCGGUGUGAAAGUCAGAGGCUCAACCUUUGAAUGCCGCUGGAAACUGUCUGGCUUGAGUCCGGAAGGGGCGAGUGGAAUUCCUGGUGUAGCGGUGAAAUGCGCAGAUAUCAGGAGGAACACCGGUGGCGAAGGCGGGUCUCUGGGCCGAUACUGACGCUGAGGAGCGAAAGCAUGGGGAGCGAACAGG
RNAcentral lists this ribosomal RNA (253 nucleotides) under uncultured bacterium. Its description in RNAcentral is "partial 16S ribosomal RNA". It matches the Rfam family "Bacterial small subunit ribosomal RNA", at positions 524 to 776 of the family's 1533-position model. The record is from RNAcentral.